This 588-nucleotide ribosomal RNA is filed under the name Arthrobacter keyseri. Its description in RNAcentral is "bacterial SSU rRNA". It matches the Rfam family "Bacterial small subunit ribosomal RNA", at positions 372 to 964 of the family's 1533-position model. The record is from RNAcentral. Lineage: Bacteria; Bacillati; Actinomycetota; Actinomycetes; Micrococcales; Micrococcaceae.
AGGGCGAAAGCUGAUGCAGCGACGCCGCGUGAGGGAUGACGGCCUUCGGGUUGUAAACCUCUUUCAGUAGGGAAGAAGCCCUUCGGGGUGACGGUACUUGCAGAAGAAGCGCCGGCUAACUACGUGCCAGCAGCCGCGGUAAUACGUAGGGCGCAAGCGUUAUCCGGAAUUAUUGGGCGUAAAGAGCUCGUAGGCGGUUUGUCGCGUCUGCUGUGAAAGACCGGGGCUCAACUCCGGUUCUGCAGUGGGUACGGGCAGACUAGAGUGCAGUAGGGGAGACUGGAAUUCCUGGUGUAGCGGUGAAAUGCGCAGAUAUCAGGAGGAACACCGAUGGCGAAGGCAGGUCUCUGGGCUGUAACUGACGCUGAGGAGCGAAAGCAUGGGGAGCGAACAGGAUUAGAUACCCUGGUAGUCCAUGCCGUAAACGUUGGGCACUAGGUGUGGGGGACAUNNCCACGUUUUCCGCGCCGUAGCUAACGCAUUAAGUGCCCCGCCUGGGGAGUACGGCCGCAAGNNUAAAACUCAAAGGANUUGACNGGGGGCCCGCACAAGCNGGCGGAGCAUGCGGAUUAAUUCGAUGCAACGCGA